UAAAGGGUGUGCAGGGUUUAAAUAGGGAGUGAACAGGUGAACUCAAACAGGUAAAUGAGGCGUGAAUAAAGGGUGGAAGGAACCAAUCAGUGCUGAGGAAAAGGGGGAAAGGAAGUGAGGUAAAGGAAGUGAUGUACCUGAAUAUUUACAACACCUGGUGUCCUGCAUGGUCAUUUAGUCCCUGUGUUUUGUUUCUUUGUGUCUCUGUUGUGUAUCUGAAGCUUGCCUCUGUUCCCGGGUUUGGUUGUUGGUUCUGGAUUUUGGUUGUUGAGUUUUUUUGGUUUGUGUUUUUGCCUGAAUCUCCAGCUGCCUUUUUAAUUUUGUUUUGUUUUUUAUGUUUAAUCCUUUUAAUCCUUUGUGUCGAAGUCUGUGUUCCUUUGUGUUCAACCCCAGACAAGUUCUUUGGAGUGGUUACUGGUUCUUGAAGUCACCCUUUGCAGAAAUGUGACCUGAUGUUGAUAAAACAACAACAACAACAAAGGUGAAUUCUGAGGACACUUACCGCAACGUACUGUCUGACUACACAGAACAUUUCAUGAGGUUCAGAGUAAUGGCUUGGUUAGACACUGCGUGCAGGCCUCGUGGAACCACUGACCACAGCUUCCACACUGCAGCAUCUUCAGGUUCCACCUGCGGUCCGACACGGAAAAACAUCGAGAGACACAGAAAGAAACACAUGAAUGAAUGAACGUGUCCAACAUCUGUCACCACACAGAGUGUGAGACGGAGAGAUUAGCAGCCUGACCUUGGUCGCGACGGCAAAGACACAUUGCCGACAUAUCCACGAAUCGCUGUCAGCUUCCGGUUCGAUGGUUGGCGUGUGG
Molecule: long non-coding RNA, 824 nt
Organism: Larimichthys crocea (large yellow croaker)
Lineage: Eukaryota; Metazoa; Chordata; Actinopteri; Sciaenidae
Exons: 5
Source: RefSeq, a predicted model, not a curated record